RNAcentral lists this ribosomal RNA (357 nucleotides) under uncultured bacterium. Its description in RNAcentral is "bacterial SSU rRNA". It matches the Rfam family "Bacterial small subunit ribosomal RNA", at positions 28 to 401 of the family's 1533-position model. The record is from RNAcentral.
GACGAACGCUGGCGGCGUGCUUAAAACAUGCAAGUCGAACGAGCACUUCGGUGCGAGUGGCAAACGGCUGAGUAACGCGUGGGUGACCUGCCUCGAAGUGGGGAAUAACUGCCCGAAAGGGUGGCUAAUACCGCAUGUGAUGGCUCCUUCGGUGGAGUCAUUAAAGCCGCAAGGCGCUUGGAGAGGGGCCCGCGUCCGAUUAGCUAGUUGGUGGGGUAACGCCUACAAGGCGUCGAUCGGAGCUGGUCUAAGAGGAUGAUCAGCCAGACUGGGACUGCGACACGGCCCAGACUCCUACGGGAGGCAGCAGUUAGGAAUUUUGGGCAAUGGGCGAAAGCCUGACCCAGCAACGCCGCG